GUUGCUGUAUUUGCAGCUGUAAUGUAUUUGCUACUGGUAGUACCGGUGCUAGUGCUGCCAGUGACUGCGGCUGCUGCUGCUGAUGAUUUUGCUGCUGCUGCUGCUUUUGCAGUUGCAGCUGUUGCAACUGUUGUUGUUGUUGCUGCUGAUGCUGCUGCUGCUGCUGUUGUGCGGCUGUGGCUGUGGCUGUGGCGGCUGCUGCUGCUGCUGCGGCGGCGGC
This 220-nucleotide small RNA is filed under the name Drosophila guanche. Lineage: Eukaryota; Metazoa; Arthropoda; Insecta; Diptera; Drosophilidae. The record is from RNAcentral.